This 492-nucleotide ribosomal RNA is filed under the name uncultured bacterium. RNAcentral describes it as "partial 16S ribosomal RNA". It matches the Rfam family "Bacterial small subunit ribosomal RNA", at positions 29 to 507 of the family's 1533-position model. The record is from RNAcentral.
AGUGAACGCUGGCGGUAGGCCUAACACAUGCAAGUCGAACGGCAGCACAGUAAGAGCUUGCUCUUACGGGUGGCGAGUGGCGGACGGGUGAGGAAUACAUCGGAAUCUACUUUUUCGUGGGGGAUAACGAAGGGAAACUUACGCUAAUACCGCAUACGACCUACGGGUGAAAGCAGGGGAUCUUCGGACCUUGCGCGAUUGAAUGAGCCGAUGUCGGAUUAGCUAGUUGGCGGGGUAAAGGCCCACCAAGGCGACGAUCCGUAGCUGGUCUGAGAGGAUGAUCAGCCACACUGGAACUGAGACACGGUCCAGACUCCUACGGGAGGCAGCAGUGGGGAAUAUUGGACAAUGGGCGCAAGCCUGAUCCAGCCAUACCGCGUGGGUGAAGAAGGCCUUCGGGUUGUAAAGCCCUUUUGUUGGGAAAGAAAAGCAGCAGGUUAAUACCCCGCUGUUCUGACGGUACACAAAGAAUAAGCACCAGCUAACUUCGUG